GGUUUCCUACGGGGGGCAGCAGUGGGGAAUAUUGCACAAUGGGGGAAACCCUGAUGCAGCAACGCCGCGUGAAGGAAGACGGUUUUCGGAUUGUAAACUUCUGUUCUUAGUGAAGAAUAAUGACGGUAGCUAAGGAGCAAGCCACGGCUAACUACGUGCCAGCAGCCGCGGUAAUACGUAGGUGGCAAGCGUUGUCCGGAAUUACUGGGUGUAAAGGGAGCGCAGGCGGGAAGCCAAGUCAGCUGGGAAAACUACGGGCUUAAAUUGUAGAGUGGAGUUGAAACUGGUUUUCUUGGGUGAAGUAG
Molecule: ribosomal RNA, 305 nt
Filed under: uncultured bacterium
Lineage: Bacteria
Description: bacterial SSU rRNA
Rfam family: Bacterial small subunit ribosomal RNA
Source: RNAcentral